RNAcentral lists this ribosomal RNA (1222 nucleotides) under Escherichia coli. Its description in RNAcentral is "partial 23S ribosomal RNA". It matches the Rfam family "Bacterial large subunit ribosomal RNA", at positions 323 to 1551 of the family's 2925-position model. Lineage: Bacteria; Pseudomonadati; Pseudomonadota; Gammaproteobacteria; Enterobacterales; Enterobacteriaceae. The record is from RNAcentral.
UGUGUGUUAGUGGAAGCGUCUGGAAAGGCGCGCGAUACAGGGUGACAGCCCCGUACACAAAAAUGCACAUGCUGUGAGCUCGAUGAGUAGGGCGGGACACGUGGUAUCCUGUCUGAAUAUGGGGGGACCAUCCUCCAAGGCUAAAUACUCCUGACUGACCGAUAGUGAACCAGUACCGUGAGGGAAAGGCGAAAAGAACCCCGGCGAGGGGAGUGAAAAAGAACCUGAAACCGUGUACGUACAAGCAGUGGGAGCACGCUUCGGCGUGUGACUGCGUACCUUUUGUAUAAUGGGUCAGCGACUUAUAUUCUGUAGCAAGGUUAACCGAAUAGGGGAGCCGAAGGGAAACCGAGUCUUAACUGGGCGUUAAGUUGCAGGGUAUAGACCCGAAACCCGGUGAUCUAGCCAUGGGCAGGUUGAAGGUUGGGUAACACUAACUGGAGGACCGAACCGACUAAUGUUGAAAAAUUAGCGGAUGACUUGUGGCUGGGGGUGAAAGGCCAAUCAAACCGGGAGAUAGCUGGUUCUCCCCGAAAGCUAUUUAGGUAGCGCCUCGUGAAUUCAUCUCCGGGGGUAGAGCACUGUUUCGGCAAGGGGGUCAUCCCGACUUACCAACCCGAUGCAAACUGCGAAUACCGGAGAAUGUUAUCACGGGAGACACACGGCGGGUGCUAACGUCCGUCGUGAAGAGGGAAACAACCCAGACCGCCAGCUAAGGUCCCAAAGUCAUGGUUAAGUGGGAAACGAUGUGGGAAGGCCCAGACAGCCAGGAUGUUGGCUUAGAAGCAGCCAUCAUUUAAAGAAAGCGUAAUAGCUCACUGGUCGAGUCGGCCUGCGCGGAAGAUGUAACGGGGCUAAACCAUGCACCGAAGCUGCGGCAGCGACGCUGAUGCGUUGUUGGGUAGGGGAGCGUUCUGUAAGCCUGUGAAGGUGUGCUGUGAGGCAUGCUGGAGGUAUCAGAAGUGCGAAUGCUGACAUAAGUAACGAUAAAGCGGGUGAAAAGCCCGCUCGCCGGAAGACCAAGGGUUCCUGUCCAACGUUAAUCGGGGCAGGGUGAGUCGACCCCUAAGGCGAGGCCGAAAGGCGUAGUCGAUGGGAAACAGGUUAAUAUUCCUGUACUUGGUGUUACUGCGAAGGGGGGACGGAGAAGGCUAUGUUGGCCGGGCGACGGUUGUCCCGGUUUAAGCGUGUAGGCUGGUUUUCCAGGCAAAUCCGGAAAAUC